AGAGCGAACGCUGGCGGCAGGCCUAACACAUGCAAGUCGAACGGACCCUUCGGGGUUAGUGGCGGACGGGUGAGUAACACGUGGGAACGUGCCUUUUGGUUCGGAAUAGCUCCUGGAAACGGGUGGUAAUGCCGAAUGUGCCCUUCGGGGGAAAGAUUUAUCGCCAUUAGAGCGGCCCGCGUCUGAUUAGCUAGUUGGUGAGGUAAUGGCUCACCAAGGCGACGAUCAGUAGCUGGUCUGAGAGGAUGACCAGCCACAUUGGGACUGAGACACGGCCCAAACUCCUACGGGAGGCAGCAGUGGGAAUAUUGGACAAGUGGGCGCAAGCCUG
This 331-nucleotide ribosomal RNA is filed under the name uncultured soil bacterium. Its description in RNAcentral is "bacterial SSU rRNA". It matches the Rfam family "Bacterial small subunit ribosomal RNA", at positions 26 to 385 of the family's 1533-position model. The record is from RNAcentral.